AUGGAUUUUGGGCGGCGAAAGAGCUUUAGCUUCUUCGAGGAGGACCGGAAGGCGCGGCCGGCGGCGGCGCAGACGCCCGUGCACCACUAUGCGCGCGGGGGAGGAGGUGGAGGAGGAGGGGGGCGGUCCCCGGCGCGCGAGGCGGCGGAGCCGGCGCGGAUGAGCAUGUCGUCCGUGCCUGUCGCGGAAUUGCCGGCGAUGAUGGGAGUCGGAGGCGUGGGAGGCGGGUGCUCGCCGUGGGUGCAGUCGCCGCUGCACAGCAGGCUGCGGUUCCCGCCGUCGCCCGCCGCGAUCUACCACUGCCUCGCGGCGCUGCAUCGGCUGGACGGCGACGUGCACGCGCUCGCCGUGGCGAGAGGGGUGCUGUUCACGGCGUCCGACAGCGGCCGCGUCCGCGCGUGGGCGGCGCCCGGGUGCUUCAACCGCGGGUACCUCGACGUGGGCCGCGGCCGCGUGCCGGCCCUCGCGGCGUGCGGCGGGACGCUCGUCACCUCCCACAGCCGUGACCACCACGUCCGGGUGUGGACGGUGUGCGCGGCCGCCGUGUGCGACCACAUCCGCGCCAAGAAGGCGGCCACGCUCCCGGCCAAGGGCGGCCUCCUCUCCUUCGCCAAGAAGCGCCCGCACCACCACCGCGACACCGUGUCGUGCCUCGUGCUCCACGCCAUCGCGGGCCUCCUUUACACCGCGUCGCACGACCAGACCGUCAAGGCGUGGAAGCUAUCUGACGGCAGCUGCGUCGACUCCUUCGUCGCCCACGACGGACCUAUCAAUGCCAUGCUCGUCAACGAGGCUGACGGCUGCAUCUUCACGGGCUCCGCCGACGGCACCGUCAAGAUGUGGCGCCGGGUGUACGGCGGCACCGCGCACGCCCUCAUUAUCGUGCUCCGCUCCGAGCUGUCCCCAGUCAACGCGCUCACGAUCUGCCACGCCGCGAGCGGCACCACCCGACGGUGCUUCCUCUACGCCGGCUCCUCCGACGGCUACGUCAACAUCUGGGAGAAGGAGGCGUCGGCGGGCCGGCCGGUGCACGUCGGGUUCCUCAAGGGACACCGGCUGGCGGUGUUCUGCCUGGCCUCCGGCUGCGGCGGGCGGGUGGUGGUGAGCGGGUCGGAGGACGCGACCAUGCGCGUGUGGAGGCGGGAGGGGAAGGGCGGCGAGUCGCACACGUGCCUGGCCGUGAUCGAGGGGCACCGCGGGCCGGUGCGGUGCCUGGCGGUGGGAGGCGGCGAGGCAGGGGAGGUGGAGGGAAGCAUGGUGGUGUACAGCGCCGGGCUGGACAAGAGCGUGAAGGUGUGGAGGAUAAGGGUGGUGGGGAAAGAAGAGGAGGACGACGAAGAUGACGAGGAUGACGACGGUGAGGAGGAGAUGGAGGACAUCGUGGCCGCGGGGAAGGGCGACGUGGAUGCCGUGAGAGACGAGGUGGAGGCCGAAGAGGAGCAGGUGGUGAGCCUUGGGCCGACGCCGGUGCUGUCGCCGGUGUGGGUGGAGAAGCGGCGGCAUACGAGUCGUGGCUGA
RNAcentral lists this ribosomal RNA (1518 nucleotides) under Triticum aestivum (bread wheat). Its description in RNAcentral is "partial small subunit ribosomal RNA". The record is from RNAcentral. Lineage: Eukaryota; Viridiplantae; Streptophyta; Magnoliopsida; Poales; Poaceae.